This is a long non-coding RNA of Podarcis raffonei (Aeolian wall lizard), 1220 nucleotides long. RefSeq lists it as uncharacterized. Lineage: Eukaryota; Metazoa; Chordata; Lepidosauria; Squamata; Lacertidae. The record is from RefSeq and is a predicted model, not a curated record. The transcript has 2 exons.
CUCAGGGUCCCCAUCCCAGAGCCCAGUCUGGAAAUCACUGAUGUCGAACACACAGGGAAGGGCAAACCCUAUGCUGCCUAACUCUGCUCUUUGUUUAUUUCCUCCUUUGCCCCCCUGAACAGGAAUCCAUGCCUUGGCCUUUGUCCUCUGCUGGGCCCUGGCACUCGCAGCUCCCCAUGGAAAGCAGAAACGGUGGGACAAAGAUUGUUGUGGGGGGUUGGGACACCAGGCAAAAGAACUUUUCGAUGCCUAUAAGAAUGAUUCCAGGCCAAUUGCGCUUCACCCCAACAUCCGUCUCAACUUCACAGGAUUGCCCAACUGCACUUUCUCAGAACCGCCAAAGACCGAGGAAGGCUGUGCCGCCAUAACGGCGUUCCUUGGACUGCUGGAGCAGUUUAACAGAAGCCACGAUCCCAUCCUGAAGAUCGCUGGCUGGGGGAUUCCGACAAUGAUCACACAGCUAGCUGAAUGCCGCCAUUGUUUUGAGCUGCAAAACGGCAGAUGCCCCAAUGAAAAUAUUUCUUACACCAAAAAUGCCUCUUUUACUAAUCGGAAAAUGAUAUAUUACUAUGCUUUCCAAGAGUACCAGAGUUGCAUGCUAAAUUUCACUAGUAAAAUACAGUUUGUUUGAGAGAAAGAUUUUGUAGAGGGGCGGCUGCACAAUGAUGAGAUCAGCUGGUCACAUUUUUGUAUACAGAAGACAUUUCCCCUGGAGAAACUAAGCCUCCUAUGAGUUAAGUGUCCCUGAGCUCAGUGGGGCUGACCUCUGAGUAAGGAUUUAAUUGCAAGGGAAUCAAAACGUCAUUUCAAAACACGAAUAAAAUGGGAAGGAGACAAUUCCUUACUGUGGAAAGUCGAUUCCUGCCAAUAAAUGUGGCUUUUUAAUUUGAUUUAUCAACCCAAGAAAUUCAACUGCAGUAUGUCUAAAUGUUUUUAAUGCAUAUAUUUAUUCUAUUUUUUAAAAAAAUCUAUUUAUUUUUAUAUUGACAUUUGUGUGUGUGUAAUUUAUAAAGAGUAAUUAUACUAAAGAGAGGUUUAUACAAUAAUAUAUAUUUUAUUGAUCUCAGGACAAAACUGAGGGGGGUGCUUUUAAAUAUUUAAAUAUAUAUUUAAAGUAUUUGGAAGAUCAUCUGUUAUAUGUAUUUCUGUAUUUAUUUAUGUAUUUGUAAGCCACCUUUUAAGAUUCACAACAAAAUAAAAUCAUGCUAUUUAAAGUUAAA